UUCUUCACUUCCGCCUCUUUUAUCCAAAAUUCAAAUCCUCCACCUCCAAAGUCCAUCCGUCGCCAUCUCUUCUCCACCGUCGCCUGCGCUUGCGCCUCCGCCCUCUAGCCAUGCUCCGGAGUUCAGCCUGACGCUGGCGCCCCUCCACCAAACUCCUCUCUACUCCAGCGGUGCUCCAAAGUCCAGCCCGAUGCUGACGUCGACGUCGACGGCUCUCCAUGCCGGCGCCCUCCACCCGACGACUCGUCGCCCUCCAGCCAUCCAGCAGUCCCUCCUCCCUCAGGCCUCAGCCAUCCACGCCGAAGAAGAUAUUGAAUAAUGAAAGUGAAACGAUUGGAGAUAGCAUUUUAAUUGAAGUUACUUCUCGGGUGGAUGACAAAUGAGAUGAAAAAAAGAGAAAAACUAUGGACAAAAGAUUUGGCCAAAGUUCUUCUAUUGACACUUGAAACUUUGAUCAAGAAAAGAUUGAGAAGGCUUUGCUUUUAUGAUGAUUGUUGAUGAGUUGCCUUUUGAGUUUGUUGAAGGAAAGGGUUUUCAACACUUUGUUUCUAAGUUAUGUCCUCGUUUUAAGAUUCCAUCUAGAAAGGAACUUGACAAGAUAGAGCAUAGUAUUUGAAGCUUUGGAAGAUGAAGAGUAAACACUUAUUAGAUAGUAUUAAAUUUUAUUUUGGUUGACAUUGAUGUUGUGGCUUAAAUAUUUAUAUUUUGUUGGUU
Long non-coding RNA from Salvia splendens (bonfire salvia), 714 nucleotides. RefSeq lists it as uncharacterized. The record is from RefSeq and is a predicted model, not a curated record. The transcript has 2 exons. Lineage: Eukaryota; Viridiplantae; Streptophyta; Magnoliopsida; Lamiales; Lamiaceae.